GAUGAACGCUGGCGGCGUGCCUAAUACAUGCAAGUCGAGCGAACAGACGAGGAGCUUGCUCCUCUGACGUUAGCGGCGGACGGGUGAGUAACACGUGGAUAACCUACCUAUAAGACUGGGAUAACUUCGGGAAACCGGGGCUAAUACCGGAUAAUAUAUUGAACCGCAUGGGUCAAUAGUGAAAGACGGUUUUGCUGUCACUUAUAGAUGGAUCCGCGCCGCAUUAGCUAGUUGGUAAGGUAACGGCUUACCAAGGCGACGAUGCGUAGCCGACCUGAGAGGGUGAUCGGCCACACUGGAACUGAGACACGGUCCAGACUCCUACGGGAGGAAGCAGUAGGGAAUCUUCCGCAAUGGGCGAAAGCCUGACGGAGCAACGCCGCGUGAGUGAUGAAGGUCUUCGGAUCGUAAAACUCUGUUAUUAGGGAAGAACAAAUGUGUAAGUAACUAUGCACGUCUUGACGGUACCUAAUCAGAAAGCCACGGCUAACUACGUG
RNAcentral lists this ribosomal RNA (497 nucleotides) under uncultured bacterium. RNAcentral describes it as "partial 16S ribosomal RNA". It matches the Rfam family "Bacterial small subunit ribosomal RNA", at positions 28 to 507 of the family's 1533-position model. The record is from RNAcentral.